Molecule: non-coding RNA, 92 nt
Organism: Triticum aestivum (bread wheat)
Lineage: Eukaryota; Viridiplantae; Streptophyta; Magnoliopsida; Poales; Poaceae
Source: Rfam
AAAACUAGCCAGUUCCAUGGGUACGAAACCCAUUUGAGUGAGAGUAGUACUAGGAUGGGUCACCUCCUAGGAAGUCCUCAUGAAAGGGUUUC